Molecule: long non-coding RNA, 1151 nt
Organism: Gymnodraco acuticeps
Lineage: Eukaryota; Metazoa; Chordata; Actinopteri; Perciformes; Bathydraconidae
Exons: 4
Source: RefSeq, a predicted model, not a curated record
AACGGAGCGGUCUCGUGUGGAUAGACACUAUCCGGAUGACUAUUGCGUGUGGACGGAAGCUUUUUUGCGAUUGCGUUUGCGUUAAUCCUAUGCGUUUAGCCGUUUUCGUCCUCGUGUGGCCGGGGCAUACAUUCUUUGUGUAUGCUUCGAGCUACGAACGGGGUCUCCAACAGAAAUCUGCAGGGGGUUUUCUACAGUAUUUCGCCUUUACAUGUUCGGCAGUGGCACUCUGCUGUUCUCAACGGGACUGAUCAUCCUCAAGCAGACCGACGGAGACGAGACGACGGAGUGUGUUGAAGAGGCCUAUAUGAACAACUACAAUCCCCGGUUCAGGUGGCGACUGGCGCGCUAACGGAGCUCCAGGAGGGAAAACCUUUGCGACGCUGAGGUUCGGCUGAUUUGCAAAGACAUCUGACAUUGCACAGCAACGAAUGAGAAUGUGUCUGGAAGGUCUGCCCUUAUUUGUCCGUGACAGUGCAGAGAAGCUCUUCCUGAAAUGCCUGGACACUGAUCCGGAAGAAAAGCAGACUGCUGGUGUCAAGAUGGGAGUCCUCACUGUUCUCGUAGAUGAUGGUGGACCUACCCCGUCUCAAAUGGUCAACAGUAUUGCUGUUGUCUUGGAAGAGACAAUUGUACUCUCGGAUCUACCAGACAUCCCAACUGCAUUUGUCUACCUUUUUGGUACUCUAUGCCCUGAACAUUGAGUUUCCAAAAGAACACAAGUACACUUUUGAGACUGUUCAGCACAUCUUCAUGGGACUUUCCACCAGUUGCUCACAGCGGAUCAGGAGUUGGAAAACAAAGCUCUUAAUCUAAGUGAGCAUUGGCAAAUUCAAAAACGGAUUCACAAGAUGUCCCCAUUUCAUUUUCCUGCCUUCACCGCUGUUUGUCACUUGAACAUUCAGUUCCCAAAACCCAACUAACUAAACCAACUAACUAACUAAACCAACUAACUAACCCACUAACUAACCCAAAUAACCCAAGUUCUUUAUCUUUACAGAUAAAAUGUUAACUAGUAACAUGAACAUCUUGCUACAUUUUCAAAGACAUGUUCUCACUCUUAACCAGUUAAGCCCUGAGCCUGUUUUUCAGGUUUCAGGCUCGAAAAUGCCACUAACACAACAAAUGAUAUAUCUUCACUUCUAAAAGGG